GGUUGCGAUCAUACCAGCACUAAUGCACCGGAUCCCAUCAGAACUCCGCAGUUAAGCGUGCUUGAGCGAGAGUAGUACUAGGAUGGGUGACCCCCUGGAAGUCCUCGUGUUGCAACCC
RNAcentral lists this ribosomal RNA (118 nucleotides) under Helianthus annuus (common sunflower). Lineage: Eukaryota; Viridiplantae; Streptophyta; Magnoliopsida; Asterales; Asteraceae. The record is from RNAcentral.